GCGGUGCUGCGGGGUGCGUUAGAAGCACAUAUGUUCCCCGGGGCCUAUAAGAUCCGCAUGGGAGCUGUCCCUGACUGAGACCGUGGUCUCGGAUACACGGCGCCCACCUACGUUCGUAGGGACCAACGCGGGAUCAUCCGCUUCGACGGCCACCGCGGCACUUUG
This is a non-coding RNA of Hyphomicrobium sulfonivorans, 165 nucleotides long. It matches the Rfam family "6S / SsrS RNA". From Rfam's summary of the family: E. coli 6S RNA was the first non coding RNA to be sequenced, but its function was unknown until recently. It consists of 184 nucleotides that fold into an extended hairpin structure with a large single-stranded internal bulge. NCBI's taxonomy places the organism in Bacteria, Pseudomonadati, Pseudomonadota, Alphaproteobacteria, Hyphomicrobiales, Hyphomicrobiaceae. The record is from Rfam.